GAAGGAAUACCGAUUGCGAAGGCGAUCUACUGGAACAUUAUUGACGCUGAGAUGCGAAAGCGUGGGGAGCAAACAGGAUUAGAUACCCUGGUAGUCCACGCCCUAAACGAUGUACACUAGUUGUUGCGAUGCUAGACAUUGCAGUAAUGCAGUUAACACAUUAAGUGUACCGCCUGGGGAGUACGGUCGCAAGAUUAAAACUCAAAGGAAUAGACGGGGACCCGCACAAGCGGUGGAGCAUGUGGUUUAAUUCGACGAUACGCGAAGAACCUUACCUGGCCUUGACAUUGAUAGAAUCUUUCAGAGAUGAGAGAGUGCUAGUUUACUAGAGCUUGAAAACAGGUGCUGCACGGCUGUCGUCAGCUCGUGUCGUGAGAUGUUGGGUUAAGUCCCGCAACGAGCGCAACCCUCGUGAUUAGUUACCAGCACUUCGGGUGGGGACUCUAAUCAGACUGCCUUCGCAAGGAGGAGGAAGGUGAGGACGACGUCAAGUCAUCAUGGCCCUUACGGCCAGGGCUACACACGUGCUACAAUGGGGCAUACAAAGAGCAGCGAUACGGUGACGUGGAGCAAAUCUCAUAAAAUGCCUCCCAGUUCGGAUUGUUCUCUGCAACUCGAGGACAUGAAGUUGGAAUCGCUAGUAAUCGUAGAUCAGCAAUGCUACGGUGAAUACGUUCCCGGGCCUUGUACACUCCGCCCA
This 700-nucleotide ribosomal RNA is filed under the name uncultured Campylobacterota bacterium. Its description in RNAcentral is "bacterial SSU rRNA". It matches the Rfam family "Bacterial small subunit ribosomal RNA", at positions 700 to 1396 of the family's 1533-position model. Lineage: Bacteria; Pseudomonadati; Campylobacterota. The record is from RNAcentral.